UACAGAGGUCCCGAGCGUUGUUCGGAUUCAUUGGGCGUAAAGGGUGCGUAGGUGGCGCUGUAAGUGGGGUGUGAAAUCCCGGGGCUUAACCCCGGGACUGCAUUCCAUACUGCGGUGCUUGAGGACCGGAGAGGAGACUGGAAUUUACGGUGUAGCAGUGAAAUGCGUAGAGAUCGUAAGGAAGACCAGUGGCGAAGGCGGGUCUCUGGACAGUUCCUGACACUGAGGCACGAAGGCCAGGGGAGCAAACGGG
RNAcentral lists this ribosomal RNA (253 nucleotides) under uncultured bacterium. RNAcentral's name for it is "partial 16S ribosomal RNA". It matches the Rfam family "Bacterial small subunit ribosomal RNA", at positions 524 to 776 of the family's 1533-position model. The record is from RNAcentral.